CUAUCGGCCCUUAUUAGGGCCACCUGUUUUAAAGCAAGACAAAACU
Molecule: non-coding RNA, 46 nt
Organism: Operophtera brumata (winter moth)
Lineage: Eukaryota; Metazoa; Arthropoda; Insecta; Lepidoptera; Geometridae
Source: Rfam